UUUUUUAUGGAGAGUUUGAUCCUGGCUCAGGACGAACGCUGGCGGCGUGCUUAACACAUGCAAGUCG
RNAcentral lists this ribosomal RNA (67 nucleotides) under Corynebacterium diphtheriae. RNAcentral describes it as "partial 16S ribosomal RNA". It matches the Rfam family "Bacterial small subunit ribosomal RNA", at positions 1 to 64 of the family's 1533-position model. RNAcentral also lists the same sequence under 1 other name. Lineage: Bacteria; Bacillati; Actinomycetota; Actinomycetes; Mycobacteriales; Corynebacteriaceae. The record is from RNAcentral.